RNAcentral lists this ribosomal RNA (253 nucleotides) under uncultured prokaryote. Its description in RNAcentral is "partial 16S ribosomal RNA". It matches the Rfam family "Bacterial small subunit ribosomal RNA", at positions 524 to 776 of the family's 1533-position model. The record is from RNAcentral.
CACGGACCGCACGAACGUUAUUCGGUAUCACUGGGCUUAAAGGGCGCGUAGGCGGUGAGAUAAGCGAGAUGUGAAAUCCCUGGGCUUAACCUAGGAACUGCGUCUUGAACUAUCUCGCUGGAGUACUGUAGAGGGUAGUGGAAUUUCCGGUGUAGCGGUGAAAUGCGUAGAGAUGUGGAGGAAUACCAAUGGCGAAGGCAGCCCCCUGGGAUAAUAUUGACGCUCAUGCACGAAAGCGUGGGGAGCAAACAGG